Molecule: small nuclear RNA, 111 nt
Filed under: Cervus hanglu yarkandensis (Yarkand deer)
Lineage: Eukaryota; Metazoa; Chordata; Mammalia; Artiodactyla; Cervidae
Source: RNAcentral
GUGCUCGCUUCGGCAGCACAUAUACUAAAAUUGGAAUGAUACAGAGAAGAUUAGCAUGGCCCCUGUGCAAGGAAGGAUGACACACAAAUUCGUGAAGCGUUCCAUAUUUUA